Molecule: ribosomal RNA, 465 nt
Filed under: uncultured bacterium
Lineage: Bacteria
Description: partial 16S ribosomal RNA
Rfam family: Bacterial small subunit ribosomal RNA
Source: RNAcentral
CCUACGGGAGGCAGCAGUAGGGAAUCUUCCACAAUGGGCGAAAGCCUGAUGGAGCAACGCCGCGUGGGUGAAGAAGGUCUUCGGAUCGUAAAACUCUGUUGUUAGAGAAGAAAGUGCGUGAGAGUAACUGUUCACGUUUCGACGGUAUCUAACCAGAAAGCCACGGCUAACUACGUGCCAGCAGCCGCGGUAAUACGUAGGUGGCAAGCGUUAUCCGGAUUUAUUGGGCGUAAAGGGAACGCAGGCGGUCUGUUAAGUCUGAUGUGAAAGCCUUCGGCUUAACCGGAGUAGUGCAUUGGAAACUGGCAGACUUGAGUGCAGAAGAGGAGAGUGGAACUCCAUGUGUAGCGGUGAAAUGCGUAGAUAUAUGGAAGAACACCAGUGGCGAAGGCGGCUCUCUGGUCUGUAACUGACGCUGAGGUUCGAAAGCGUGGGUAGCAAACAGGAUUAGAUACCCCUGUAGUC